This 252-nucleotide ribosomal RNA is filed under the name uncultured bacterium. RNAcentral's name for it is "partial 16S ribosomal RNA". It matches the Rfam family "Bacterial small subunit ribosomal RNA", at positions 526 to 779 of the family's 1533-position model. The record is from RNAcentral.
CGUAGGUGGCGAGCGUUAUCCGGAAUUAUUGGGCGUAAAGGGUGCGUAGGCGGUCUGUUAAGUUCAUGGUCAAAUUGUGGGGCUCAACCCCAUCGCGCCAUGGAUACUGGCAGACUAGAGUAUUGGAGAGGCAAGUGGAAUUCCAUGUGUAGCGGUAAAAUGCGUAGAUAUAUGGAGGAACACCGGUGGCGAAGGCGACUUGCUAGCCAAAGACUGACGCUGAGGCACGAAAGCGUGGGAGCAAAUAGGAUU